Molecule: transfer RNA, 73 nt
Filed under: Ornithorhynchus anatinus (platypus)
Lineage: Eukaryota; Metazoa; Chordata; Mammalia; Monotremata; Ornithorhynchidae
Rfam family: tRNA
About the family: Transfer RNA (tRNA) molecules are approximately 80 nucleotides in length.
Source: Rfam by way of RNAcentral
AGCAGUGUGGUCUAGUGGUUAGGGCAUGGGCCUGGGAGUCAUUAGGACCUGGGUUCUGAUCCCAGCUCUGCCA